This 1096-nucleotide long non-coding RNA is filed under the name Rosa chinensis. RNAcentral's name for it is "sRNA RchiOBHm_Chr2g0120241". Lineage: Eukaryota; Viridiplantae; Streptophyta; Magnoliopsida; Rosales; Rosaceae. The record is from RNAcentral.
GAGCGUUGAAACCUCUUUGGGUGAGGUCAGUGCAGAUCAAAGAAGAUGGUGGUGGGUGUCCAAAUCAGAUUUGGAUGUUGCUUUACGUCGGUGACCGCUGCAAUUGCAAAUUGCAGAUUGGUGGAGCUUAGACAGCGGGGGUGCUACUCAGCGGAGCCUUGGCCUUUGGUGGAGGCUAGAGGAGGAUGCUAGCGGUGGCAGCAUUGGUCUGCGGUGGCUCGUAGCGGAGCUUUGGCCAGCGGUUUGCAGCUGGAGGAGGUUCGCCGGCGGUGGCCUCUAGCGGAGUUGUAGCUAGCUGAGGACUUGGUGUGCAGCGGAGAAUUGGUGCUCAACGAUUUGGAGGUCAGCGGAGGCUUGCUGGUCAGCUAAGCCUUGAUGCCUAAUGAAGACUUGGCGAAGGAAUUCGCAGCUGAUGGUACUUAGCGGAAGGGAUUGCCGCUAAAGGCGCUUGGCCACUAACGGAGAUUGAAGCUUAGACGCUUGCCUAGCGGAAGGGAGAUUCCGCUGAUGGAUAAGAGAGGAACCGCUGAGGCUAGCGGGGCUGGCUGCCGCUGGUAGUUCCGGUGAUUGCUGCAGCUGACGGAGGCUAGCGCUGGAAGUGGUGGCCAGUGGUGUCCAGCGGAGAUGGUGCCAGUGGAGCACUCGACGGAGCUGGGCGGAGCGGAGCCGCUGGCUGGUGGUGGCAGUGAAGCCUGCUGCUCACUUGGAGCUCGGCGGAGGGACUGAGCUAAGCGGAGGCUCAAUGCUGGCGGAGUUGUGCCGCUGGUGCUUAUCCAUAGGUGCCCAGAGAAGUCUUCUGGGUGUCCAGAGUAAACUAGCGGCAAAUUUUUUUUUUUUAAGUUCAUCGUUGACUUUGUUGUUGUCUUUGACCAAUAGUGAGUUAGCAUUGCCCAGCGUUGACUGAACGUUGACCAGACCUACUCAAUGUUGACCAAGCAUUUGACUGUAGUUGACCAGCCCCAAUGGGCGUUGACCGGCCAUGAUGGGAGUUGACCAACCUUAAUUUGAUGUUUACCAAAGUUCAUAGAACGUGAUGAAGCCAUUGUGUUGGCUUCCCACAGACGGCGCCAAUGUUAACAUUAGAGAUCCGAGGGGG